AACAGUGUGCUUGAUAAAAAGAUCGUCUUGAUAGGACGGAAAAUGAGAAGUUCAGGUUUCCCCGCUGUUA
Molecule: transfer RNA, 70 nt
Filed under: Halocaridina rubra (Hawaiian volcano shrimp)
Lineage: Eukaryota; Metazoa; Arthropoda; Malacostraca; Decapoda; Atyidae
Description: tRNA-Ile
Source: RNAcentral